CUGAAGUUGCUUGUAAGGCUGUGCCAUAUCUAUGAUACCCGAGGAGGUGUAAAAACCGUUAAAGAUGGUGCUUCUCAGGAUCAUAUUUUAAAUGAGACAAGACUGCAAAACUUGCAGCGAGAACUUGUGAAGGAUCUACGUGAGGUAACUACACCAAGAGUAUGUGCCCGUCUUAUUUGGGCUGUUGCAGAACAUAUAAAUCUAGAUGGUUUGGAUCCACUUCUAGCUGACGACCCUGAGGAUACCUUGAACAUUAUUGUAUCAAAUAUCCACAAGGUCUUAUUCAACAUUGAUUCGUCUGCAAAUGCAUCAAAUAGGCUUCAAGAUGUUCAAGCAGUUCUUUUAAGUGCUCAACGGUUGGGAUCACGUGACCCUAGGGCUGGCCAGUUACUAACUAAAGAGCUGGAAGAGUUUAGAAACAGUGGGUUGGCUGAUUCUGUCAACAAGCAUCAGUGCCGUUUUAUAUUGCUGAGAAUUAAAUACGUUCAAAAUCAUCCGGAUAGUAGGUGGGCUGGCGUCAGUGAAGCCAGAGGGGACUAUCCAUUUAGCCAUCACAAACUUACUGUUCAGUUUUAUGAAGCAGCUUCUGCACAGGACAGAAAAUUAGAAGGAUUGGUUCACAAGGCUAUUUUAGAGCUUUGGAGGCCAGAUCCUAGUGAAUUAACUAUUUUGCUGACGAAAGGAAUUGAUUCUAAAUUACUAAAAGUUAUGCCUGCUGCAUAUACUUUGACGGGUAGUAGUGAUCCAUGCUAUGUUGAAGCUUAUCAUUUGGCGGACUCAAGUGAUGGAAGGAUCACUUUGCAUCUGAAGGUCUUAAACUUGACUGAACUUGAACUCAAUCGAGUGGAUAUUCGGGUUGGGUUAUCUGGUGCAUUAUAUUUUAUGGAUGGAUCUCCUCAGGCUGUGCGACAGCUAUGUAAUCUUGUUUCACAGGAUCCGGUACUCUGCAGUGUAACAGUGGGUGUGUCCCACUAUGAAAGAUGUGCCUUUUGGGUUCAAGUCUUGUACUACCCAUUCUAUGGAAGUGGUGCGAUAGGAGAUUAUGAUGGUGACUAUACUGAGGAGGAUCCACAAAUCAUGAGGCAGAAGAGAAGCUCAAGGCCAGAACUAGGAGAACCUGUGAUUUUGAG
RNAcentral lists this unclassified non-coding RNA (1130 nucleotides) under Hevea brasiliensis (rubber tree). The record is from RNAcentral. Lineage: Eukaryota; Viridiplantae; Streptophyta; Magnoliopsida; Malpighiales; Euphorbiaceae.